RNAcentral lists this ribosomal RNA (1577 nucleotides) under Heterosigma akashiwo. Its description in RNAcentral is "partial Eukaryotic large subunit ribosomal RNA". It matches the Rfam family "Eukaryotic large subunit ribosomal RNA", at positions 1 to 1520 of the family's 3401-position model. The record is from RNAcentral. Lineage: Eukaryota; Raphidophyceae; Chattonellales; Chattonellaceae.
AUCUCUAUUGAAGCAAGAAGACCCCCUGAAUUUAAGCAUAUAAUUAAGGGGAGGAAAAGAAACCAACUCGGAUUCCCCUAGUAAUGGCGAGUGAAGCGGGAAGAGCUCAUGUUGUAAAUCUCCAGCUUGCUGGCGAAUUGUAGUCUAAAGGUGCGUGCUCAGUCGUGGUCCCGGGCUAAGUCUGUUGGAAAACAGCAUCAUGGACGGUGACAAUCCGGUUCUUGCCUGGGGUCCCGCGGCGUACGAGCCGUUUCCGACGAGUCGUGUUGCUUGGGAUUGCAGCACUAAGUGGGUGGUAAAUUCCAUCUAAAGCUAAAUAUUGGUGGGAGACCGAUAGCGAACAAGUACCGUGAGGGAAAGAUGAAAAGACUUUUGAAAAGAGAGUAAAAUAGUACCUGAAACUGCUGAAAGGGAAGCGAUUGAAGUCAGUGUUGCUCCUGGUCUUUUUGCCGUCGCCCCCGUGGGGGUUGCGGCGUGGGGCCUGGAGCGUUUCAACAUGCGUUCUGUUCCGCGGGAAAUGUUCAGUGUGCUGGAACCUUCGGGGAAACGCACUGUUCUUGUCGUGGUUAGGACGGAGGACCUUUGCUCCUUUGACUGCGCGUUCCUCUCUCGGGUAUGCUGGUGUCUACUGCUUGCAGUUUUCAUUUUCAUGCUUGCGACUGUGCGUGUUAUUCAUGAGCGAACAUGAUGUUGAAGAAAUGGCUUUAAUUACCCCGUCUUGAAACACGGACCAAGGAGUCUAACAUGUAUGCGAGCCGGUGGGUUUAACACCCAUGAGACGCAAGUAACCUGACUGGUGGGAUGGCUUAUGCCUGCACCAUCGACCGACCAUGAUCUUCUGUGAAAGGUUUGAGUACGAGCAUACCUGUUGGGACCCGAAAGAUGGUGAACUAUGCCUGAAUAGGGCGAAGCCAGGGGAAACUCUGGUGGAGGCUCGUAGAUGUGCUGACGUGCAAAUCGCUUUUCGGACUUGGGUAUAGGGGCGAAAGACUAAUCGAACCAUCUAGUAGCUGGUUCCCUCCGAAGUUUCCCCCAGGAUAGCUGGAGCUUGAUCAGUUUUAUCGGGUAAAGCGAAUGAUUAGAGGUACCGGGGAUGAAACAUCCUCGACCUAUUCUCAAACUUUAAAUAGGUAAGACGUCUGGGUUGCUUAAUUGAACCCAGGCAUUCAAUGAGAGCUCCAAGUGGGCCAUUUUUGGUAAGCAGAACUGGCGAUGCGGGAUGAACCGAAAGCUGAGUUAAGGCGCCCAACUGCGCGCUAACCUAGAUCCCACAAAGGGUGUUGAUUCAUAUAGACAGCAGGACGGUGGUCAUGGAAGUCGAAACCCGCUAAGGAGUGUGUAACAACUCACCUGCCGAAUGAAUUAGCCCCGAAAAUGGAUGGCGCUGAAGCGCGCGGCCUAUACUCAGCCAUGGGGACAAGUGCGAGGUCCCCAUGAGUAGGAGGGCGUGGGUGUCGUGGGAAAGCCUGCGGCGUGAGCCGGGGUGGAACGGCACCUGGUGCAGAUCUUGGUGGUAGUAGCAACUAUUCAAAUGAGAACUUUGAAGACUGAAGCGGAGAAAGGUUCCAUGUGAACAG